Adelges cooleyi (spruce gall adelgid) is the source of this 271-nucleotide long non-coding RNA. RefSeq lists it as uncharacterized. NCBI's taxonomy places the organism in Eukaryota, Metazoa, Arthropoda, Insecta, Hemiptera, Adelgidae. The record is from RefSeq and is a predicted model, not a curated record. The transcript has 3 exons.
CACACGUCUUAUAAUUUCGGGUAAUAUUAAAUGACCAUACGACUUACUUGGAAACUUAAUUAUGUUAAUUACAGAAUACAUUAUCCAUGGAAAAUGGUGAAACUGAAGAACAAGGUACAUCAGAAGACAGUUUUUUGAAAAACUUGACAAAAGGAUUAGAUGAAAUGCUUUGUUUAGAAGAUGUCUAUAAAGAUAAUUGGGAUAUUGCAGAAAGUUCAUCGAGCGAGAGUGAAACGAGCCCGAGCGACGAACCAGUAGGCCCCGGUCAUUU